CAUUUGUUAAUUCAUUUUAAUAUUUUCCUAACCAGAAACUGAAGCAAGGGUUGCUAAUAAAUGAAUUUUGGAAAAAAUGAUAUUAUUUGUCUGGCCUUUCUCACGUAUAAGAGUGGCCUCCCUUGAAGCCAGGUGCUCGUUGCCAGGCAAUAUUAUAGGUGGCGCCGCUGUCAACAUGUGCAUGUGAAAACGAAAGUAGAUUGUUUAUCUAGGAAUUAUUACAACAUUUUACCCUUCUACGUUGAAUUUUUAAGAUAUAAAAGUAUGAAUAUUGAGAUGAUUAUUUAGUUACCUUCAACUGGUCAGUGGCCAAAAGGGAGUAUUUCUGUGUGCCUUGAAGCAUUGAAUGCCCCAAAACAACCAGUAUGAUAAGAAGACCAGAGUAUACAGCUUCCCAAAAUGUUGAAAGACUAAGCUGUUUUUAGCUCACCUGAGCAAUGCUCAGGUGAGUUUUUCUGAUCGCUCGAUGUCCGUCGUCCGUCGUCUGUCGUCUGUCAACAUUUAGCUUGUGUAUGCGAUAGAGGCUGUAUUUUUCAAUUAAUCUUCAUGAAUAUUGGUCAGAAUGAUAACCUUGAUGAAAUCUAGGCCGAGUUCGAAAAUGGGUCAUCUCGGAUCAAAAACUAGGUCACUAGGUUAAAUCAAAGAAAAACCUUGUGUAUGCGAUAGAGGCUGUAUUUUUUAAUUAAUCUUCAUGAAUAUUGGUCAGAAUGAUAACCUUGAUGAAAUCUAGGCUGAGUUCGAAAAUGGGUCAUCUCGGGUCAAAAACUAGGUCACUAGGUCAAAUCAAUGAAAAACCUUGUGUAUGCGAUAGAGGCUGUAUUUUUCAAUUAUCUUCAUGAAUAUUGGUCAGAAUGAUUGCCUUGAUAAAAUCUAGUCCGAGUUCGAAAAUGGGUCAUCUCGGGUCAAAAACUAGGUCACUAGGUCAAAUCAAAGAAAAACCUUGUGUAUGCGAUAGAGGCUGUAUUUUUCAAUUAUUCUUCAUGACUAUUGGUCAGAAUGAUAACCUUGAUGAAAUCUAGACCGAGUUCGAAAAUGGGUCAUCUCGGGUCAAAAACUAGGUCACUAGGUCAAAUCAAAGAAAAACCUUGUGUAUGCGAUAGAGGCUGUAUUUUUCAAUUGAUCUUCAUGAAUUUUGGUCAGAAUGAUUGCCUUGAUGAAAUCUAGGCCGAGUUCAAAAAUGGGUCAUCUGGGGUCAAAAACUAGGUCACUAGGUCAAAUCAAAGAAAACCCUUGUGUAUGCGAUAGAGGCUGUAUUUUUCAAUUGAUCUUCAUGAAUUUUAGUCAGAAUGAUUACCUUGAUGAAAUCUAGGCCGAAUUCGAAAAUGGGUUAUCUGGGGUCAAAAACUAGGUCACUAGGUCAAAUCAAGGAAAAACCUUGUGUAUGCGAUAGAGGCUGUAUUUUUCAAUUGAUCUUCAUGAAUUUUAGUCGGAAUGAUAACCUUGAUGAAAUUUAGACCAAGUUCAAAAAUGGGUCAUCUGGGGUCAAAAACUAGGUUACUAGGUCAAAUCAAAGAAAAACCUUGUGUAUGCAAUAGAGGCUGUAUUUUUCAACUGAUCUUCAUGAAAUUUAGCCAGAAUAAUUACCUUGAUAAAAUCUAGGCCGAGUUCGAAAAUGGGUCAUCUGGGGUCAAGAACUAGAUCACUAGGUCAAAUCGAAGAAAAACCUUGUGUAUGCAAUAGAGGCUGUAUUUUUCAAUUGAUCUUCAUAAAAUUUGGUCAGAAUAAUUGCCUUGAUGAAAUCUAGGUCGAGUUUGAAUAUAGUUAUCUGAGGUCAAAAACUAGGUCACUAGGUCAAAUUAAAGAAAAAUCUUGUGUAUGAGAUAGAGACUGUUUUUUUUUCAAUUGAUUUUUAUGAAAUUUGGUCAGGAUGAUUGCCAUAAUGAAAUCUAGGUCGAAUUUGAAUAUGGGUCAUCUGAGGUCAAAAACUAGGCCACUUGGUCAAAUCAAAGAAAAAACUUGUGUAUGUGAUAGAGGCUGUAUUUUUCAAUUGAUCUUCAUGAAUUUUGGUCAGAAUGAUUGCCUUGAUAAAAUCUAGGUCGAGUUUGAACAUGGGUCAUCUAGGUCAAAAACUAGGUCAUAUCUAAGAAAAUGCUUGUUUUAUCACAAGAGACCAAUUUUUUGGUCCAAUCUUAAUGAAAAUUGGUCAGAAUAUUUGUUUCCAUGAAAUCACUAGGUCAAACAUGUUUUACACUGUUAUGGUGUGUUUCUUAGGUGAGCGACCUAGGGCCAUCUUGGCCCUCUUGUUCUAUGGACUUGUAAGUAUUUUGAAUGUUUGAUUUCUCUUUCUUUUAACCUUAUGAUUGAAUAUUUCAUUUCAAUUAGUCAUGACACUUUUUCUAGUAAUUUGCAUCUACAUUUCAACAUGUUUACACAUUUUGUUUACACAGAAAGAUAUUUUUUACUUCUUUCAUUCUAGGUAUACUAUCUAGGUUGAAAACAGCCACAGACAAUGAAUUUGGAGGUGCAUGCUGGAGCAUCAGAAAUUACAUACUUGGAAUGAAUAAUUGCACAAUACACAUUUACUGAGAAAUGACUAAUGUUUAUGUUAAAGUGCAAUAUCCAUAUUUGUAACAUUUACUUGGGGGUAAUAGUUACAAUGUUGAAAGAGACUACCAGUGUUACAUUUCAAUCUAAGUUACAGUGUGGAUGCUAAUUCUAAAUUCUUGAUAAUCAAGUGUUUUUAAUAACUUAUGAAUACUAAUUAUUUAUCAAACUGUUUAAUUUAUCACAUUCCUACAUCAUUAUUUUAUAUAAAAUGCUUGUAGUUAUAUAAUAUAUGUCAGGUUAAAUGGUAAUAAAUUUUGUUCCUGUGUAAA
Molecule: long non-coding RNA, 2816 nt
Organism: Mercenaria mercenaria
Lineage: Eukaryota; Metazoa; Mollusca; Bivalvia; Venerida; Veneridae
Exons: 4
Source: RefSeq, a predicted model, not a curated record